RNAcentral lists this ribosomal RNA (468 nucleotides) under uncultured bacterium. RNAcentral describes it as "partial 16S ribosomal RNA". It matches the Rfam family "Bacterial small subunit ribosomal RNA", at positions 28 to 507 of the family's 1533-position model. The record is from RNAcentral.
GACGAACGCUGGCGGCGUGCUUAACACAUGCAAGUCGAACGGAAAGGCCCUGCUUUUGUGGGGUGCUCGAGUGGCGAACGGGUGAGUAACACGUGAGUAACCUGCCCUUGACUUUGGGAUAACUUCAGGAAACUGGGGGUAAUACCGGAUAGGAGCUCCUGCUGCAUGGUGGGGGUUGGAAAGUUUCGGCGGUUGGGGAUGGACUCGCGGCCUAUCAGCUUGUUGGUGGGGUAGUGGCUUACCAAGGCUUUGACGGGUAGCCGGCCUGAGAGGGUGACCGGCCACCUUGGGACUGAGAUACGGCCCAGACUCCUACGGGAGGCAGCAGUGGGGAAUAUUGCACAAUGGGCGGAAGCCUGAUGCAGCAACGCCGCGUGCGGGAUGACGGCCUUCGGGUUGUCAACCGCUUUCGCCUGUGACGAAGCGUGAGUGACGGUAAUGGGUAAAGAAGCACCGGCUAACUACGUG